This 579-nucleotide long non-coding RNA is filed under the name Brassica napus (rape). RNAcentral describes it as "long non-coding RNA (BNAP_LNC017117)". The record is from RNAcentral. Lineage: Eukaryota; Viridiplantae; Streptophyta; Magnoliopsida; Brassicales; Brassicaceae.
UUUGGAUACAUAAUGUAGUGGAGAAUCACCAGGAAGUUGAAUAAAUCUCAUAGGAGUUAAGAUGAAGAACCUAUCCAACUUUCAAAUCAGGUGAUCCCAGUUUUCCUGUUUGGGAAUAUGACAACUUCUUCGUCAUUCUUAUCAAACCAGGAUGAACCGUGAUGUAAGAAGCUUGAUUUGGAUAGAUAAAGUACUGGAGAAUCAGCAAGACGUUGAAUAAAUCUCAUAGGAGUUAGGAUGAAGAAGGUAUCCAACUUUCAAAUCAGGUGAUCCCAGUUUUUCUGUUUGAGAAUAUGACAACUUCUUCGUCAUUCUUAUAAAACCAGGAUGAACCGUGAUGUAAGAAGCUUGAUAUGGAAACAUAAAGUAGUGGAGAAUCACCAGGACGUUGAAUAAAUCUCAUAGGACUUUGGAUGAAGAACCUAUCCCACUUUCAAAUCAGGUGAUCCCCGUUUUCUUGUUUGGGAAUAUGACAACUUCUUCGUCACUCUUAUCAAACAAGGAUGAACCGCGAUAUAAGAAGCUUGAUAUGGAUACAUAAAGUAGUGGAGAAUCACCAGGAAGUUGAAUAAAUCUCAU